This 379-nucleotide ribosomal RNA is filed under the name uncultured bacterium. RNAcentral's name for it is "bacterial SSU rRNA". It matches the Rfam family "Bacterial small subunit ribosomal RNA", at positions 28 to 402 of the family's 1533-position model. The record is from RNAcentral.
GACGAACGCUGGCGGCGUGCUUAACACAUGCAAGUGGAGCGACGAACCAGGGCUUGCCCUGGGGCAGAGCCGCGAACGGGUGAGUAACACGUGGGUAACGUGCCCCGAUGACUGGGACAACCCGGGGAAACCCGGGCUAAUACCGGAUAUGCCCCCUCACAUCAGUGAGGUGUGUAAAGGAAGCUUCGGCCUCCGCAUCGGGAUCGGCCCGCGGCCCAUUAGCUUGUUGGUGAGGUAACGGCUCACCAAGGCUUCUAUGGGUAGCUGGUCUGAGAGGACGAUCAGCCACACUGGGACUGAGACACGGCCCAGACUCCUACGGGAGGCAGCAGUGGGAAUCUUGCGCAAUGCGCGAAAGCGUGACGCAGCAACGCCGCGU